This is a non-coding RNA of Oryzias latipes (Japanese medaka), 1562 nucleotides long. The record is from RefSeq and is a predicted model, not a curated record. NCBI's taxonomy places the organism in Eukaryota, Metazoa, Chordata, Actinopteri, Beloniformes, Adrianichthyidae.
CGUGCACGCGCGAGGGAAAGAGGCACGUAACCGUUGGGAGACUGUCUGGAGUCUGUCUGAAAUCGAUAAAUUUGGAAAAUGGAGUUUUACGAUUUCCGCGAAUUGACGGAAACGCCGCUUGGUGGGAAAUGUUUUAUUUUUUAUUUUUGCUUUCCUCCCUCUGAUAUUUUCGCACACGAGUCAUCCCGCAUAGCCGAAUAUUUAUUUUAUUUAUUUAUUUUAGAUAAAGGCUCUGAAAGUUUUUCCUCUGCAGUCUGGCAGCAGACAUCUCUUUAUGCUCAGGAUUGGAGGUGGGGAUCUGGACGGGAAUGGAUGUGAUCCACAUCAGACGCAUCCUACCUUAGGAGGCCACAGCCAGGACUUUUCUGGCUAAGCUGUCCCAUGAGACCAGCGACAGUACAGCUGCCUUUUUCUUCCACCUGGAUACACCUUUGAACAUUUUCUUUCCCAAUCACAGACUGGCUGCCACUUCCUAACAGCUCUAUUGCAGAGAAUCCCACAUGUGUUCUGCAGAGGAGAGAAUUUGCACAUACAGAGGGAGCUGGUUGUGGACUAGGAGGAAGAUGUCACACUAAAGAUGGGUUUUGGUGAUGAUGUAGCUGCUGUUGAUGCAGCAUCGAGCUCUCACUUUGUGUCUCUGUCAACUAUGAUCCGUAACCACAAAGUGAGUGACAGGCCAAUCCCCGGGGAACCAGGGGGCCUGAGGUGAGUCAGAUGUGUUCUUGACCUUGUCUAACUGUGUGUCAGCAACUAACACAAACUCAGUAAAGAGAAAGAAACACAACUAAAAGUCCAGAAAUGACACAAUCGCACAUGAACAUCUUCAUUCAGCAUGUUGAGAAGCAAACAAAUCUACUAAAGCUAUGUGUUUUUUUUAACUCUGGAUUUCAAAUUCUCCCUAACUGAUGAGUUAUGAAAUUAUCAUUACAAAGCUCAUCGUAUUCUCAACAACACCAUGAAUUGCUUUGUGUACACUCGAGUUCCACUGAAUAUUUUACUACUGCAAACCAGUUUGAGUCGUAAACAUACUUUAUUCUCAAAGCUGUUCAACUUUUUUACUUCACUGCUUCACAUGCAGACCAUAUAACAUUGCUUUUUAUUCAAACAUGUCAGAAAAGUUGUGUUUUUGUGUUGACUCGAUUCAACACAAAAUCAUCUAAGGUAUGAUGGUUUUGUUUGAAAGGAAUCGAACUUUUUCGGCAUUAAACUUUGAUGGAGUUCAGGACGUCUUUCUGCUCCAACCUGGCUAUCUCUUUAUUUUUUAUUAAACCUUGUAAUUAAAUAAAAGUUUUGUGAACUGCAACUCACACUGGUCGUUUCUUGUUUAAAUAAUUUAAUUCCAUGUGUAAAAAAUUUGAUAUUUUUUUACUUUUUCCCAAUUUUUUCUUUUUUUAAAACACAUUAACAUGUGCAUUAUUGAUCAAACUCUUGAUCUUUUUGAUUAUUACCUAACGUUCUAACACAUGGAUUCAUUUUGUAAGCAGAAAUAAAAACAUAUGCAUUGAUGGAUAUUGUGAAAACUAUGUUGCAUUAAAUGCAAUAAACAAUAAAGUUGCACCUUU